AUGUGCCAGUUGCUUUUUCAGACACUGGGUCACACCAGUGAAGGAGACAGACCAGGUGCCUGUGCUCAGGAAGCUUACAUUCCAGAAGGGAGACACGAUACACGAAUAGUUGUGAAUACCAUGUCAUGUGCGUGGAAGGGCUCAUCCAGAACGAAAGGACUAGAACUAUUGCCACUGAGGGGAGGUGAAAGUUCAGCCAACUUGGAACCCGGAGGCCUCGCCUUACCUCCCUUUGUGAAGAGCCCAGAGCCUUUGUCCAAAGCUGCAUCACUUCCCACCCAGCCCUUCCUGAGCCAACUCCCCGAUGUCUCCAGACGAACACAGUCGACAUCAUCGUGAUAACAUCAGGGAAACUCCUAUUUCCAGCAGUUUCUCCUUCAGCUGCAAAAAUGUGCAGCGGUAGACAGGGCGUGGGUUUUUGAAGUCUCUGCAGGAAGCAGAGUUGUUUUCUCAGCACCACAUCUGAGCGCAUCUUCUAAGGGUGGCCGACUGUGUGGGAGCUGUAGGAGCUCAGCCGGGGUGCAGCCCUCCCAUUCCCCACCCUGUCCACCACCACCACGCCUGGAUCUGACAGGGAGGGCAGGACCCCACACCACGUGGUGAGUGUUAAGGAAAAUAGAGCCAGGUGGGGCGGAUGCCUGAUACUCUUCCUGGUUUUCCUGAGUGCUCUUUGUCUCCCCUACUCCUACUCACAAUAAAUCUGACUACACUUAAACUUAGAUCAUCAUAAGAAACCCCACAAAUGCCCAUCAUCCUCCACUGCUGUGAUCACGAAUCUAGAAUGGACAUUUCAUAUCAAUGCCACAGUCCCCUGGGACCAUCAGCCAGAAAUGUUAUCACAACUCCUCACUUUGCCCCCUAUUCCCAGAAGGCAAGGAAAGAAGGAACCCAGUUUCCUAGUGUGUAAGGACUCGUAUAGAAGGAACCCAGAUGCCUACUAAUCCUACUAAGAUGCACACAGCUCAAAGCUCAGUUACAUUAAUGGUGGGCCUACUGCAUGCUUGGGAUGCUUCCCUGUGUGUUUUGUGUGGUCCUUUCAGAAGUCCUGUGGAUAGACAUUGUUAGCCCCAUGGUACAGUUGAAGUUGAGAAUCCCUAGUGGUUAAGUCAUUCCCCCAGAUCACAUGGAUGGCAGGUGACAGAGGCAAGACCCGGCCUUGGGUCAGGUAUGAAUGUCUCGAAGACUUGGAUCUGUCUGCACGUGGGUGAUUAUCACAUCCAGACUUGCACUGAAGGUCAUGCUGGCUGCCAUGGGCUGUGAAUACCUUUCCUCAAUCAGGCACUUUGUGUCUAUUAUCUCAUUUAAUCUUUGUUCCACUUUAUAAAGUGGCUCUUAAUAUGCCCCCUCUACAAGUGAGGCACCUUGUCUAAUGUCACUAAGCUGUGUACCUGGACUUGAUUCCAAAGCCUAUGGGGUUUCCAUUAAGCACCUUUGCCUUUUGAAAAGUAGGUAAUUUCUCCACCUCUCCUAACCCCCAUUUUCUGAAUCUGUGGCACAUUAAAUGCAUAUAAAUGCAAACACAGAUGACA
This 1529-nucleotide long non-coding RNA is filed under the name Papio anubis (olive baboon). RNAcentral describes it as "lncRNA (ENSPANG00000044891.1)". The record is from RNAcentral. Lineage: Eukaryota; Metazoa; Chordata; Mammalia; Primates; Cercopithecidae.